GCGAUUAAUCGGCGUUAAUAUAUGACCCGAUUAGCAGCUUCCGGGAAACCAAAGUUUUUCGUUUCCGGGGGAAGUAUGGUUGCAAAGCUGAAACUUAAAGGAAUUGACGGAAGGGCACCACCAGGAGUGGAGCCUGCGGCUUAAUUUGACUCAACACGGGAAAACUCACCCGGCCCGGACACCGUAAGGAUUGACAGACUGAGAGCUCUUUCUUAAUUCGGUGGGUGGUGGUGCAUGGCCGUUCUUAGUUGGUGGAGCGAUUUGUCUGGUUAAUUCCGAUAACGAACGAGACUCUGGCCUAUUAAAUAGACGAUAUAUUUAAAAGUAUAUCGCGCUUCUUAGAGGGACAAGCGGCGUCUAGCCGCAUGAAAUAGAGCAAUAACAGGUCUGUGAUGCCCUUAGAUGUCCGGGGCUGCACGCGCGCUACACUGAAAGAAUCAGUGUGCGUUACGCCUAGUUCGGAAGAACCGGGUAACCCAAGUAAAUUCUUUCGUGCUUGGGAUAGGGAAUUGCAAUUAUUUCCCUUAAACGAGGAAUUCCAGUAAAUGCGGGGU
Molecule: ribosomal RNA, 554 nt
Filed under: Aporcelaimellus sp. TKt17
Lineage: Eukaryota; Metazoa; Nematoda; Enoplea; Dorylaimida; Aporcelaimidae
Description: SSU rRNA
Rfam family: Eukaryotic small subunit ribosomal RNA
Source: RNAcentral